UGUGUAUGUGUCCUUUUCCUCUGUAACUCUGCCUUUCGAAUAAAUAAAUAAAUCUUUAUAAAAAGAAUCCCCUCUAAGUCUGGGCACCUAGAGACACCUGCCAUCUCCGUGGUGCCUCCUUGUGCCUCCCAGCGAAGCUUGUCAUUCAGCCUCUCUGGCCCUGUGUUAUCCUUAGAUCUUCUUCCACCCAGACCUCAUCCAUGAGCCCACACGUGCGGUGUGUACGGAUGAGCGCUGAGCCAUUAGCUGUGGUUAUGGUGGAGGGAAACGCCCCCCUGUGUUGCAGGUCAUGGGCGUCAACCCUGUCACACCCCUGAGUGCUUGUUGGACUCAACUCUGGAGCUCUGAGCUUCCGGGGUCUUCCCCCGUGCUUCUUCCGGUGGGCAGGCCUGUGAGUGUGCGUCUCCCCUAUUCAGACAGGAAGGGGAAGCCAGGCAGGGGGUUUCUGGAAAGAGGACUCACAUGCAGGGUAGGGCAAAGGAGUUGCACACGUGUACACUUGUGCACUCACACUCCAGUUCUCAUCAGCUUCAGGGGUGCCCUCAGGCCCCAGAGGGCCGUGACACGCCUCAAAGCUGCUGUGAGCGCCAGCGCAGCUUCCUCAUCCACGACAAGGUUCCUGCUGUGGAGGGACCCCAGGCUCUGCCCAGCCGCCUGGCUGUCAUGCCCUAGACUUUCCUCUUGGCCUACACAGGCAGGACAGGAGAGCGGAAUCGAGUCUCCGUGGUGAAGGCCUUGUGGCCAGUUCUGAACUCGGACUUCUGUGUUCAGAGUCAGAGGCCCCGGAGGUAGAUGUAGGUCUGGGAGCUGAGGUGUAGGGUCAGCAUUUUCAGAUGACUGCAGAGCUGAGGAGUGGCCAGUUGGAGCAGCUGUGGGCCAGGCUGACCCUGGUGUGAGUUCCAGCUCUGGAGAGGAAGCGGUGAACUCUCCACGCCUGUUUCUUCAUCUGUGACGUGAGCCAGCCUUCACAGAGCACAGCUACUUUCCCAUUUUACAGAUGGGGAAACCGAGGCCCUGAGAGGCCGGCUUGGAGCUGAGAUCCAUUGGCUCCCAGGCACCUCCCUGGCCCUGGUGGGUUGGGGGGAAGCUGCUGUCAGCCCACAGGUGAAAAGUACAUGGCAGAUAGGGGGCGAGAAGACGGGAGAGGGUGAGGAGGCCCCCCAACUCCUGAAUCGGGACAAGCAGGGUUGUGAGGAACCGCCCUCUGCUGAGCCUCCCCCCAACACCCCCAGCUUCCCCCAGCUUCACCCACCUCCUCCAAGAGGGUCCUGGUUAGCAGUGCUGUGAGCUGUGACCCCCAUGGCUUAAGAGAAGGCCAACCUGAUGUGAACUGCAACUCCAACACUCACCUCACGCUUCCUGUCACAAAGACUCCCAGUGACAGCUCUCCUGCCACCUCUUGGGGUCCUGCCCACCCCCUGAGGCCAGCGGGGUUGCUCCUCCUUCCAGGGCCUGUGGGUGCUCGCUCUUCCCAGCCCCCCCAGCCGGUCUGCCCCCCGAGACCCAAGCCCCCACUCCUGCUCCAGCUUUGCCUUCCCUGCCUUGGAUCCUGGGGCCUGCAUCACUGCUGUACGAUACGGGUUGGCAAGGUGUGAGACGUGUCAACCAAGCUCUCCUUUUCCUUACACAUAUACUGCUCAGCGACGGCGUUAGAACAACGCUGCCCUCAGCAGGCUUUGCUGCCUGCCCUGUGCCAAGGGCAGAGUUGAGUGAAGGCCUUCCUGCCUCUUCUCCAGGACACAGACAGGGAUGCGGCCCACCCAGUACAGGCAGGAGCCGGGAGGGUGUGGGAGACAGGGAGGUGGGUGUUCACACAGGAUCCAGGCCAAGCACCCCAGCGGCACACGUGUCUGAGCUGAGCCUCACGCCGCAUUUCUCUAGAAAAGGACAGAGGCUUUGGUUCAUUUCCCACCCCUGCUGCUCACCAGCUUGGGGGAGCCUGAGAAAGGGUCUGCCCUCUAACCCUCAAGGACCGAGCUCAUGUGCUGGGGAGCCGAGCGCCAUCCCUGAGCAGCCCUCAGCGUAUGUGGUGACAGCAGUCAGCAUGGCCAGGAGAGAGCUGUCCAUCUGAGGGCAGUGAGCAGAGGCGGCUUGGCCAGGACCCUGGACAGCUCCAAGAGCUGCUGCCCUGGGGGUUUCUUGGUUUUUGCAUCUUUCCCCGACUUCAUCAGCCGCAGGGCAGCUGGGCCUUGCUGUGCUGGCCGUAGGCGCCGUCUCUGGGGGAGGCAACACAGCGCUGCCUAUGGGAGUGGCCAGCAGGAAUGAGCAGGUGGUGUCCCGUGUGGUCAGAGAACAGAGAGGAUCAACAGGAGCUGGAUGCUAGAUGGCGUGACAGCCGCAGCUGGGUCGGGAGGCAGGGAGAGCCAGAGGUCAGCUUGGGGGAUGCUGCCUACUCCUGGGAAUGCCAGGCCCAGAGUUUCCGGUGACAGUUGGGACUGGAAUGCAUGGACUUGUUCAGCCAAUGUGUACCAAGCAUCUCCCCCACAGAGGCACCGAGGUGUUGUGUGGGGAGCACCAGCUUGGGGGCAGUGCUGGGGCCCUGCAGCUCGGUCACUAACUGCGGCCCCGCAGCCCUGGGCAGCCCUCCUGUGAGUGGCAGUAGCCACCCGUAACCACCACCUGGUGAUGGCAGCCCCGUGCCCAAGCCUGAAGUACAUCACCAUGCCCUGUGGGGUUGGUGGUGUUCACCCCAGGUGGUCUCACCCCAGGUGAGAGCCAGAGGCUCAGAGACUCUGAGGAACUUGCCCAAGUGUGCACAGCUGGCCCGAUGAAGCCAGUCUCUGUCCAGAGACGUGGCUGGCUGCCUUUUCCUUAAGCGCUGUGACCACAUCUCUUAACCUUCUCUGAGGCCAGAGCUGUGGGCAUGACAGCAGAGAGGCCCUCUGUCCCCGCCAGCCUCUGAGAUCCUUGCUGUUCCUACACGGUCCCACCCACCCCAAGACUCAGACACGUGCAGCAGGAGGCCGGCUUGGGGGCAGCGAGGCCAGAGUGCUGUGGCCAGCCCAGAGGCACUGCACGCUGGGGAAGUGGCUGGACGGGAGGCGAGGGGCCCACCUGGCGGGCAGGUGGGUGUUCCCGUGUACCCCACCAGCAGGCUGAAGCUAACAGGAGGCUUCUGCGAAUGGUCCCCAGCUGACUGACCAGUGUCCAAAGGUGUAAUUAGUUACAGACCCUGAGAUGAAGUUUUCUUGGAUUUAGGGCGGCCCUAGAUUGAAUGACUCUUGUCCCCUUAAGAAGAGGAGAGGAUAGAGAACGAAGGAAGACAGAGCCAGAGGUUGAAGGGGUGCAGUCACGAUGCAAGGAAUGCUGGGACUACAGGGGCUGCUGAGAUGGGUGAGGCCGGGAGGGUCCUCCCAGAGCCUUUGAGCUGCUGGGGUGGGCAUGCUGGCUUUCCCUGGAGGGCCCGAGGAUGACAGGCUAAGCCAGGGGCUUCUGUGCAAUCCCUCUGCCAGCGUCUGCAGCCUUCCUUGGUCCUUCUGCACCCUACAAGGCAGGAGGGGCCUGAUCUCAGCCCCCAUAGGCAGCCUGGCCUCUGGCCUGUACAUGCACCCCCAGGGACGGCUGUACCAAAUGCCACAAACUGGGUGAGGUAAAACCACAGGGAUCGAUUGUCUCACAGCUCAGGAGGCCAGAAGCCAAAGUCAAGGUGUCCGCUGGGCCACACUCCCUCCGUCCCGAAGCCCAGGGAGAGGCUCCUCUCCAUGUCUUCCACCCACUUCACAUAUUCCUUGGCUUGUGGCUGCGUCACUCCAGUUACACCUGCAAAGACCCAUUUCCAAAUGAGGUCAUGUCCCGAGGUUCUGGCUAACAGAAAUCAGGGUUGGGGGAGCACUUCAGCUGCUGAUCCAGGACUUGGGUAAUAGGUAAGUCGGUCCUCACAUCUCGUUUUGGGAAACUGAGACCAAAGAAAAGAAAUUGCUUGUCCAGGACAAGAGGGAGUUUUUCACAGAGCUGGGCCUAGAAUCUGUUUGUUCAGUACCCAUUUGCCCAGCACUUACCUGGUGCCAGGUAGCCUGCCUUGUGGCAACUCAGUGCCAGUGGGCUGAGCAGGCCCUGGCAUCAAGCAGGUCCGGCUGAGGUCGAGGCUGGCUUUGCAGUGUAGUAACUGCAGACUUGGACAAGUAACCACCCGCCUAGCCUCGACACUGUCUCAUCUGCAAAUUGGGAAUAAUAGCCAUGCUGCACGCUUUUCGAGGCGUGCUUCUGUAACCGAAGGGGAACAACCAUGGGAGGUGCUCAGCACAGCCGUGGAUAAACGGAGCCACUGGGAAAGGCAGAGGUGAGCCAGUGUCCAGGGACGGGAGCACCCUUCACAGCAGAUCUGACCCACACUCCCGGAGUUCUGAGAGAGGGAGGGGAUUGCCUGCACCUGCUGAGACCCCACCUGAGGCCUCAGGCGAGGCCUUUUCCUUUUCUACCGAAGGGGACUCCGUCACUCUGAGCCUUGGAGAUGGAGCACACCUUAGUGCCCUAGAGGGGGCCAUCGGGAGCACCUGUGUGCACAUAUGUGUCUGUGUGCACAGGUGUGGGUGUGUGCAGCUGGGGGCGGGUGCUGCACCUGCUGUUCAGGAACUGACCCAAGAUGGCUUUGGCAGGGCCGCCACAUCACCAUGGAAACAGGUGCUGGGCAGCUCAAACACGAGCAGAAGGCUGAGCUCCCGGGCACUGGGAAGGGCACUUGUGGCAGAGACACCUCCAGGUGACCCGGGUCAUCCCUCUCAGUGCCACUGAGGCCCCGCCCACUCAUUUUCUCUCUUAGAUUUCCAUGCGUACAGAGAGGCAGGAUUGAGUGCUGUGUGUCUUGUUCUAUAACAGUUUUAUUGAGUUGUGAGUCUCACUCCCCCUGAUCCGGUCAGCGGUGUUGAGCACAUUCAGAGUCGUGCAGCCAUCACCACAGUCGAUCUUAGGACAUUUUUAUUUAUUUCCCCCAAAAGAAGUCGCUGUCCACUUCCCCUGACCCAGGGUCCCCCUUAUCUGCUCUGUGUCUAUCCUGGAAAGUUCAUGUUGGUAGAAGCAUUCGCAGGGUCUUCAAAAGCUUGUGGGGGUGGCCAGCACCAGUGGCUCACUAGGCUAAUCCUCCACCUGUGGCACCGGCACCCCGGGUUCUAGUCCUGGUUGGGGUGCCGGUUCUGUUCCGGUUGCUCCUCUUCCAGGCCAGCUCUCUGCUGUGGCCCGGGAGUGCAAUGGAGGAUGGCCCAAGUGCUUGGGCCCUGCACCCGCAUGGGAGACUAGGAGGAAGCACCUGGCUCCUGGCUUCGGAUCAGGGCAGGGCACCGGCCGUAGCGGCCAUUUAGGGAGUGAACCAACAGAAGGAAGACCUUUCUCUCUCUCUCUCUCUCUCUCUCUCUCUCUCUCUCUCUCUCACUGUCUAACUCUGCCUGUCAAAAGCUUGUGGGGAGAGCAUGUUAUGAAGAACAUAGUGUAGAUUUCAGUUAAUUCCAUUUCUCCACAGCCUUUCUUGAGUACCCCUUCUGUGGCACGUGGCCCUCGGUGUCUGGCAUCUGUCACUCAGCACCCUGCUCCCAAGGCUCCAUGUUGUGGCAGGAGUCGGCGCUUCAUUUCUUGGGCUGUGUGUGGGAACGGUCACAUGUCGUGCCCACUCCUCUGCUGAUGGGCGGCUGAGCUGUUUCCGCCUGAUGGCUCAGGCCUAGAGGUGCCGCUGUGAAGGUUAACCAGUAAGGUUUUUGUGUGCACCUUUGUUUUCCUCUUCUUGUAUAUGGAGCCAGGAGGGUGAUUGCUGGGUCACAUGGGACCUCUGGGCGUAACUCCCUGGGGGAACCGCCAGACUCUUCCGCGGCAGCUGCUCCGUUCCACGUUCCCCCAGAAGCACGCGAGCAUCCCACUUCCACGUCCUCACCAGCACUCACUGUCAUCCGUCUUUUUAACCUCCCCGGUGGGUACGAAGCAGCAUCUCAUCACACUUUUGAUUUUCAUGGCCCAUUUGUGUGUCUUCUUUGGAGAAGUGUCCACUCAAGUCCUUUGCUCAUUUUUUUUUUAAAGAUUUAUUUAUUUAUUUGGAAGUCAGAUUUACACAGCAGAGAGAGGAGAGGCAGAGAGAGAGCGGUCUUCCAUGUGAUGGUUCACUCCGCAAUUGGCCACAAUGGCCAGAGCUGCGCUGAUCUGAAGCCAGGAGCCAAGAGCCUCCUCUGGGUCUCCCAUGCGGGUGCAGGCGCCCAAGGACUUGGGCCAUUUUCUACUCCUUUCCCAGGCCACAGCAGAGAGCUGGAUUGGAAGAGGAGCAGUCGGGUCUCGAACCGGCGCCCAUAUGGGAUGCUGGUGCUUCAGGCCAGGGCAUUAACCCACUGUGCCACAGCGCCGGCCCCUUUGCCCAUUUUUUAACAGGGUUGUUUGUCCCUUUAUUGCUGAGCUGUAGGAGUUUUUUAAAUAUAUAAUCUGGAUACAUAUCCUUUAUAAGAUGUAUUAUUUACAAUAUUUUCUCCGCCACACAGUGGGGCUCUUUUAAUGGUCUUUGAAGCACAAAAGUCAUUAAUUUUAAUGAGGUCCAAUUUAUCUUUUUUUUUUCUUUUGUUGCUUGUGCUUUUGGUAUCAUGACUCUAAAACCAUUGUCUAAUCCAAGGUCAUGAAGACUUACGCCUGUGUCUUCUCCUGCGAGUUUUAUAGUUUCCUCUUUGCAUUUACGAGAACGUGGCUUUAAUGAGCUGUCAGCCACAGCCAGUGAGAGGCCCUGUUUUUUGGGGGAGUCUGAGGACCUGUACGGUGCCCACCUCCCCAGAUGCCUGUGGUCCUCGAGCCGCGUCGCCCCCGCACGAGCUUCUCCAUGCACACCACGGGUAGGCCCUCCCCACAGCGUGUCUCUGCAGGUCUCAUCUAAGCCUCGGGGGCCUCUUUCUCUAGCGCUGACUCUGGGCACGCUGGCUGUCUACAUGUCCACUGAACCAGUGGGCCCUUGGCUCCUGCGUGCUCACACAUACAUGCCGCACAUGUGUGUACACACACAGGCACCCUGAGCAUCAGCUCUGUCACAGGGACACAGGACAGUCCUGAGUCACGCGCCAAGUCCAAGGCUGGGGCCAGGCUCUUCGUCAGUGACUGCCACUUAUAGGUGUCAUCCUAUCGGUGAACUGGCAGCCUGCACCUGGCCCUGACCUCACGUAGGGUCACAGAGUGCAUCACGCGCCAGGAGCAACAGUCAUGAGAAGCCACUGGCUCAGCAGGGAGACUGAGCCGUGACCGGCAGCCAGGGCAGUGGAGAAUGAGUGGGUCAGAGCCAGGCUUGCGUGGUUCUGCUGGGCAGGGCUCUGGGGAGACAGCAGAGGACGUGGAGCCCUUGAGUGUGGACGCAGCCCCUGGCCAGCGCCCCUCCAUCAGGCCCAGCCCCCUCAUUCCCACAGGUGGUGCCCAGCCCCAUACAGUCAGCAAGAGGCUGUCCAGUGUACACACAGGUUCUUGUGUUCCGGGGUGUUGUGCAGCUUCCUCUCUGCCUCUGGCACUCCACGUCUCAGUUUCCUUAUCUGUGGAACAGGUCGCAGUGACCCACGGUGUCACACAGAGGAGGGUGGGUAGGUGUGCGGGCAAGCUGCAGACAGGCAGGGCCAGGGAGGCUCUGCCCAGGCUCUCUUCACUCCCUGCCCUGGGACCUCCUCUUCCAGGAAGCCUUCCUUCCCAGCUUGCACUGGCUCCCACUAAUGACAGCUGGCCCCUAUAGCCACUCUCUGAGUCUCAGUCCCAGCAUGCUCUGUGAGCACUGAUGUCACAUGCCCUGCUCGUAGCCACCAGAGGAGCUGUCCUCUCCCCCGGAAGAGUCCUGUUCCGGGCCCCUCUCCUCUCCUCUCUGUGUGUGCCCAGGGCCAACAGCCAGCAUCAGUGGCUGACCUCAGAUCGGACGAUGAUGCCGGGCAGCGAACCCGGCAGGCCAGUCCCUCCCCUCCUGCCGGUGCCUCCGAGCGGUAGGAGCAAAGCGUUUCCCAGAUGUGGCUCCUCACCCGUCCUUCAAAGAAGCUGAAACCACAGCAGGGGCUGGGUUUGGCGCCGUGGCCACCUCUCUGUUCCCUUCCGUGCAGGAUGGUGCUGAGGCUUGGUGGCUUCCAAGAGAAAGAGGCUCUGCCCUGAUGCAGUGGGUGUUUUUCUUUGUUUUUGUUGUUUUUUGUAAAGAUUUAUUUAUGUGUUUGAAAGGCAGAGUUGCAGAGAGAGAGGGAUAGACAGACAUUUUCAACCUCAGCUUUCCUCCCCAAGUGCUUGCAAUGGCCGAGGCUGGGCCAGACCGAAGCCAGGAGCCUCAUCCAGUCUCUCACAGUGGGUAGCAAUGGCCCGAGCACUGGGGCCGUCCUCCGCUGCUUUUCCCGGAACAUUAGCCGGGAGCUGGAUUGGAAGUAGAGCAGCCAGGACUUGAACCAGCACCCAUGUGGGAUGUGGGUGUCGCAGGCAGUGGCUUUACUGCCUCUCCAUGAUGCCAGCCCAGCGUUUUGCCUCUAGGCCUGCAGCUCUGAGCAGCAGGACAGUAAGGUCCUCGGAGCAGCCUGUAUACUUAGACACACACCUCCAUCUAAUUCCUGAUUCUUUCCACUCUUACCCAAGCAGCAUACGUGAGUGUGGAUCCUGAGUGGCCCACGAUGGGCUUCUGUCCAGCUAUGCGGGCAGCACUGGGUCAGAAGCAGGGCAUUCUCAGUGUCCCGCAGACCCCAUGCCCCCUCGAUCCAGAGUUCUGAUACAGCAGCUUCUUGAGCUGUAUUGCACAUGCUGUGUAAUUCACCCACUAAGUGUACAGUGCGGUGGUUUUCUUAGUCUUCACAGAGUGGUGGAACCACACCCACAGUCUAAUUCCAGGAUUUUUUCGUCACCUGUAAAGAAACCCACACCCAUUCGUGUCACUCCUCCUCUGCCCGUGCCGCGCAGCCCCAGGCUGACACUAGCCUGCUCUCCAUCUCUCUGUGGAGUAGCCUGUUCUGGGCAAUUUCAUACCAGUAGAGUCACCAGUAUAUGGACUUUCUAACUGGUUCCUUCUACUCGCAUCCUGUGUUCAGGGCUCUGUCAUGUGGCAUAUCAGCACUUCAUUCCUCGUGAUGCCUGAAUAGCACCCUUUGUACAGAUUCACCAUAUUUUGUUCGUUUGUGUGUUGACAGACAUUUGGAUUGUUCCCACCUUUUGACUGUUGUGAGCCAAGCUCCCGUGAGUGUUGGUGUAUAGGUGUGGGGGGGGCUGUCAUGAGCCUUGCUCUAGUGAGUGUUGGUGUAUAGGUUUGUGUGUGGCUGUUGGGAGCCAAGCUCCCAUGAGUGUUGGUGUAUAGGUUUGUGUGUGGCUAUCGUGAGCUUUGCUGCAGUGAGUGUUGGUGUAUAGAUUUGUGUGUGGUUGUUGUGAGCCAAGCUCCCAUGAGUGUUGGUGUAUAGGUGUGUGUGUGGCUGUUGUGAGCCUUGCUGCAGUGAGUGUUGGUGUAUAGGUGUGUGUGUGGCUGUUGUGAGCCUUGCUGCAGUGAGUGUUGGUGUAUAGGUUUGUGUGUGGUUGUUGUGAGCCAAGCUCCAGUGAGUGUUGGUGUAUAGAUUUGUGUGCGGCUGUCAUAGCCAAGCUCCAAUGAGUGUUGGUGUAUAGGUGUGUGUGUGGCUGUCAUGAGCCAGUGAGUGUUGGUGUAUAGAUUUGUGUGUGGCUGUCGUGAGCCAAGCUCCCGUGAGUGUUGGUGUAUAGGUGUGUGUGUGGCUGUCAUGAGCCAAUGAGUGUUGGUGUAUAGAUUUGUGUGUGGUUGUUGUGAGCCAAGCUCCCAUGAGUGUUGGUGUAUAGGUGUGUGUGUGGCUGUCGUGAGCCUUGCUCUAGUGAGUGUUGGUGUAUAGGUGUGUAUGUGGCUGUCAUGAGCCAGUGAGUGUUGGUGUAUAGAUUUGUGUGUGGUUGUUGUGAGAUAUGCUCCAGUGAGUGUUGGUGUAUAGGUGUGUGUGUGGCUGUUGUGAGCCUUGCUGCAGUGAGUGUUGGUGUAUAGGUGUGUGUGUGGUUGUUGUGAGCCUUGUUCCAGUGAGUGUUGGUGUAUAGAUGUGUGUGUGGCUGUCGUGAGCCAAGCUCCCGUGAGUGUUGGUGUAUAGGUGUGUGUGUGGCUGUUGUGAGCCUUGUUCCAGUGAGUGUUGGUGUAUAGAUUUGUGUGUGGUUGUUGUGAGAUAUGCUCCAGUGAGUGUUGGUAUAUAGGUUUGUAUGUGGCUGUCGUGAGCCAGUGAGUAUUGGUGUAUAGAUUUGUGUGUGGCUGUCGUGAGCCAAGCUCCCGUGAGUGUUGGUUUAUAGGUGUGUGUGUGGCUGUCGUGAGCCUUGCUCCAGUGAGUGUUGGUGUAUAGGUGUGUGUGUGGCUGUCAUGAGCCAGUGAGUGUUGGUGUAUAGAUUUGUGUGUGGUUGUUGUGAGCCAAGCUCCCGUGAGUGUUGGUGUAUAGGUUUGCGUGUGGACCCUUGGCAUCCGCCGGUGAGCUGGAGCCCUCUGAAGGCUUGGAGUGCAAGUACAGUGGUCCCUCCUCAUCCACCAGGAUGUUUCAACUGCCAAACUCAAGACCAUGAAAACGACCUUGUUUACGUCUGUUUUCUUCUAAGAGCUGCAGUUUCAUAAUUUCAGUGGUUGCAUUUUGACCUCUGGCCAUUUUGAGUUGGUUUUUUGGUGUGAGGCAGGGUUCGACUUCAUUAUUUAGCGUGUGGACGUCCAGUUGACCUGGCACUGUUCUUUCCCUGCCAAAUGAUCUGGGCAGCCUUGUCAAAAACUAAUUGACCAUAAAGAUUUAUUUAUUUCAAAGGCAGGGUUUAUAGAGAGAGGGAGAGGCAGAGAGAGGGAGAGAUCUUCCAUCUGCUGGUUCACUCCCCAAUGGCUGCAACAGCCAGGGCUGGGCCAGGCUGAAGCCAGGAGCCAGAACCUUCAUCCAGGUCUCCCACAUGGAUACAGGGGCCCAAGCACUUGGGCCACCCUCCACAGCUUUCCCAGACACAUUAGCGGGAGCUGGAUCAGAAAUGGAGCAGCCAGGGCUGAACCUGUGCCCGUAGGAGAUGCCGGUGCUCAGGCAGUGGCUUAACCCACUGCACCACACUUCCAGCCCUUUGUACUGUUUUGAUACAGGGAACCUGAGUCCUGAGCGUAAUCUUGUUUUGUCUUGACGAUGGUUCUGGUUAUUUGGGGUUCCUUGCAAUUCCUUAUGAAUUUUAGGAUCAGCUUUUCCAUUUCUUUUAUUUGAAAGCGAAGUUACAGAGAAGGAAAGGCAGGGGCAGAAGUGUUCCAUCUGCUGGGUCACGUCUCAGAUGGCCACAGUGGCCAGGGCUGGGCCAGGCCAGAGCUGAGAGCCAGGUCUUCCACAUGCGUCAGGAGCCCAAGCACUUGGACCACCUUCAGCUGGUUUUCUAGGUGCAUCCAGGACUCAAACCAGCACCCAUACGGGUGCCAGCGCGGCAGGCGGCAGCUCGACCGACUGCGCCUCAACGCUGGCCUCAGCUUUUCCACUUCCACCAAAAAAAAAAAAAAAAAAAAAAAAAAGGCUGCUGUGAUUUUGAUGGGAAUUGUGUUGAUCUUUAGGCUGCUCUAGGGAGAAUCAUGUCUUUAUGACAUUGAAUGUUCCAUCUAUGGACAUGGGAGAGCUUCCCGCUGUAUUUAGGUGUUGUGUGUUUUUUCCAGCAACAUUUUUAUAUUUUUUGGUACACAAAUAUUUCACCUCUUUGGUUAAGAUUAUUCCUAGGUAUUUUGUUCUUUCAAAUACUAUUAUAAUUUAUUUCUUAAUUUCCUUUUUUUUUUUUUUGAAGAUUUGUUUAUUUGAAAGAGUUACAGAGUUCACAGAGGAGAGACUGAGAGAUAGUGAGAGAGAGAGAGAGAGAGAGAGAGAGAGAGAGAGAUCUUGUAACCGUUGGUUCACUGCCCAAAUGGCCAUGAUAGCCAGGGCUGGGCCAGGCUGAAGCCAGGGGGCCGGGAGCUCUACCCCAGUCUCACGUGGUGCAGGGGCCCCAGCACUUGGGCCAUCUUCUGCCACUUUCCCAAGCAUAUUAACAAAGAGUUGGGUCAGAAGUGGAGCAACCAGGACUCAAACUGGCACCCAUAUGGGAUGCCAGCAUUGCAGGUGGAGGCCUAACUCACUACACCACGGCGCCAGCCCCAGCUUUCUACUUACUCUUUCUCAACGUGGAUGCCUCUUGUGUCUUUCUCUUGCCCAGUCGCUCUCCGGAGCCUGCAGAAGUGAGAAAGUGGGCGCCCGUGUCUUUCCUGACCUUGAGGAUGCUCAGCCCUGACAGACAGCAGCCAGAGCAGAGAUUUGUUUGUGCGGUGCUGGGGCCCAGAGAGGGAAUCCAGGGCCCCUUCAGACGCCUGCCCAGGGCCUGCGGCUCUUGGAGCCUGGGACUGGGUUCCGAGAUCCUGAAGUGGCCUGGGAGGAUGCAGCCUUGCUGGCCAAAGCGCCGUGCCCUGCCCCACACCAGGCUCUCUCCUGAGCCCUUGCCUUGCGCGGGGUGCUCUGGCCCCUCCACCACCGCAGUGCUUUUGUCC
Molecule: non-coding RNA, 12433 nt
Organism: Oryctolagus cuniculus (rabbit)
Lineage: Eukaryota; Metazoa; Chordata; Mammalia; Lagomorpha; Leporidae
Source: RefSeq, a predicted model, not a curated record